GGUGUUGUGGCUCAGUGGUAGAGCGCUUGCCUUGAAUGUGUAAGGCACUGGGUUCGACUCUCAGCACCA
RNAcentral lists this transfer RNA (69 nucleotides) under Ictidomys tridecemlineatus (thirteen-lined ground squirrel). Its description in RNAcentral is "Spermophilus tridecemlineatus (thirteen-lined ground squirrel) tRNA". It matches the Rfam family "tRNA". Rfam says of the family: Transfer RNA (tRNA) molecules are approximately 80 nucleotides in length. The record is from Rfam by way of RNAcentral. Lineage: Eukaryota; Metazoa; Chordata; Mammalia; Rodentia; Sciuridae.